Molecule: ribosomal RNA, 119 nt
Filed under: Cottoperca gobio
Lineage: Eukaryota; Metazoa; Chordata; Actinopteri; Perciformes; Bovichtidae
Source: RNAcentral
GAUUACGGCCAUAACACAAUCACAAUGCCCAAUCUCGUCUGAUCUCGAAAGCUAAGCAGAGUUGGGCUGGGUCAGUACUUGGAUGGGUGACCGCCUGGGAAUACCCGGUGCUGUAAGCA